Molecule: non-coding RNA, 110 nt
Filed under: Sinomonas humi
Lineage: Bacteria; Bacillati; Actinomycetota; Actinomycetes; Micrococcales; Micrococcaceae
Description: Bacterial large subunit ribosomal RNA
Rfam family: Bacterial large subunit ribosomal RNA
Source: Rfam by way of RNAcentral
CAAGCCUGGAAGGCCCCCAGCAGACCACUGGGUUGAUAGGCCGGACGUGGAAGCAGGGACCAACGACCUGCGAAGCCGACCGGUACUAAUAGGCCGACAGCCUCACACAC